UACGGAGGGAGCUAGCGUUGUUCGGAUAUACUGGGCGUAAAGCGCACGUAGGCGGCGCAGCAAGUCAGGGGUGAAAUCCCGGAGCUCAACUCCGGAACUGCCUUUGAAACUGCAGUGCUAGAAUCCUGGAGAGGCGAGUGGAAUUCCGAGUGUAGAGGUGAAAUUCGUAGAUAUUCGGAAGAACACCAGUGGCGAAGGCGACUCGCUGGACAGGUAUUGACGCUGAGGUGCGAAAAGCGUGGGGAGCAAACAGG
RNAcentral lists this ribosomal RNA (254 nucleotides) under uncultured bacterium. RNAcentral describes it as "partial 16S ribosomal RNA". It matches the Rfam family "Bacterial small subunit ribosomal RNA", at positions 524 to 776 of the family's 1533-position model. The record is from RNAcentral.